UACGGGGGGUGCGAGCGUUGUUCGGAAUUAUUGGGCGUAAAGAGCGUGUAGGCGGCUGAAUAAGUCAGAUGUGAAAUCCCUGGGCUUAACCCAGGACGUGCAUUUGAAACUAUUCGGCUUGAGUAAGGGAGAGGAAAGUGGAAUUCCUGGUGUAGAGGUGAAAUUCGUAGAUAUCAGGAGGAACACCGGUGGCGAAGGCGACUUUCUGGCCCUAUACUGACGCUGAGACGCGAGAGCGUGGGUAGCAAAC
Molecule: ribosomal RNA, 250 nt
Filed under: uncultured bacterium
Lineage: Bacteria
Description: partial 16S ribosomal RNA
Rfam family: Bacterial small subunit ribosomal RNA
Source: RNAcentral